This 419-nucleotide ribosomal RNA is filed under the name uncultured prokaryote. Its description in RNAcentral is "bacterial SSU rRNA". It matches the Rfam family "Bacterial small subunit ribosomal RNA", at positions 338 to 774 of the family's 1533-position model. The record is from RNAcentral.
CCUAUGGGGGGCAGCAGUGGGGAAUCUUGCACAAUGGGGGAAACCCUGAUGCAGCGACGCCGCGUGAACGAUGAAGUCCUUCGGGGCGUAAAGUUCUUUCGGCAGGGAAGACCAUGACGGUACCUGCAGAAGCAGCUGCGGCUAACUACGUGCCAGCAGCCGCGGUAAUACGUAGGCAGCGAGCGUUGUUCGGAGUUACUGGGCGUAAAGGGUGUGUAGGCGGUUGCUUAAGUUUGGUGUGAAAUCUCCCGGCUCAACUGGGAGGGUGCGCCGAAUACUGAGUGACUAGAGUGCGGGAGAGGAUAGUGGAAUUCCUGGUGUAGCGGUGAAAUGCGUAGAUAUCAGGAGGAACACCGGUGGUGUAGACGGCUAUCUGGACCGCAACUGACGCUGAGACACGAAAGCGUGGGUAGCAAACA